RNAcentral lists this ribosomal RNA (482 nucleotides) under uncultured bacterium. RNAcentral's name for it is "partial 16S ribosomal RNA". It matches the Rfam family "Bacterial small subunit ribosomal RNA", at positions 30 to 507 of the family's 1533-position model. The record is from RNAcentral.
AUUGAACGCUGGCGGCAUGCUUUACACAUGCAAGUCGAACGGUAACAGGCCGCAAGGUGCUGACGAGUGGCGAACGGGUGAGUAAUGCAUCGGAACGUGCCCAGUCGUGGGGGAUAACUACUCGAAAGAGUAGCUAAUACCGCAUACGAUCUAUGGAUGAAAGCGGGGGACCGUAAGGCCUCGCGCGAUUGGAGCGGCCGAUGUCAGAUUAGGGAGUUGGUGGGGUAAAGGCUCACCAAGCCAACGAUCUGUAGCUGGUCUGAGAGGACGACCAGCCACACUGGGACUGAGACACGGCCCAGACUCCUACGGGAGGCAGCAGUGGGGAAUUUUGGACAAUGGGCGCAAGCCUGAUCCAGCAAUGCCGCGUGCAGGAAGAAGGCCUUCGGGUUGUAAACUGCUUUUGUACGGAACGAAACGGCUCUGGUUAAUACCCGGGGCUAAUGACGGUACCGGAAGAAUAAGCACCGGCUAACUACGUG